RNAcentral lists this transfer RNA (73 nucleotides) under Octopus bimaculoides (California two-spot octopus). RNAcentral describes it as "transfer RNA arginine (anticodon ACG)". It matches the Rfam family "tRNA". Rfam says of the family: Transfer RNA (tRNA) molecules are approximately 80 nucleotides in length. Their secondary structure includes four short double-helical elements and three loops (D, anti-codon, and T loops). Lineage: Eukaryota; Metazoa; Mollusca; Cephalopoda; Octopoda; Octopodidae. The record is from RNAcentral.
UGGCUUGUGGCGCAAUGGAUAACGCGUCUGACUACGGAUCAGAAGAUUCCAGGUUCAAAUCCUGGCAAGCUCG